This is a non-coding RNA of Emticicia oligotrophica DSM 17448, 36 nucleotides long. NCBI's taxonomy places the organism in Bacteria, Pseudomonadati, Bacteroidota, Cytophagia, Cytophagales, Leadbetterellaceae. The record is from Rfam.
AAGGAGCAACUCGAAAAUCCUGUAAAAGAGUAGGGG